This 750-nucleotide ribosomal RNA is filed under the name uncultured bacterium. RNAcentral describes it as "bacterial SSU rRNA". It matches the Rfam family "Bacterial small subunit ribosomal RNA", at positions 8 to 794 of the family's 1533-position model. The record is from RNAcentral.
AGAGUUUGAUCCUGGCUCAGGAUGAACGCUGGCGGCGUGCCUAAUACAUGCAAGUCGAGCGGUAAGGCUCCUUCGGGAAUACACGAGCGGCGGACGGCUGAGUAACGCGUAGGAACGUACCCCAAACUGAGGGAUAACCGCUCGAAAGAGCAGCUAAUACCGCAUGUGCUCUACGGAGUAAAGCUACGGCGGUUUGGGAACGGCCUGCGUACGAUUAGAUUGUUGGUGAGGUAAUGGCUCACCAAGUCGACGAUCGUUAGCUGGUCUGAGAGGAUGAUCAGCCAGACUGGGACUGAGAACGGCCCAGACUCCUACGGGAGGCAGCAGUAGGGAAUUUUCCACAAUGGACGAAAGUCUGAUGGAGCAACGUCGCGUGCAGGAUGAAUGCCUUCGGGUUGUAAACUGCUUUUAUCUGUGACGAAUAUGACGGUAGCAGAUGAAUAAGGAUCGGCUAACUCCGUGCCAGCAGCCGCGGUCAUACGGAGGAUCCAAGCGUUAUCCGGAAUUACUGGGCGUAAAGAGUUGCGUAGGUGGCAGAGUAUGUCUGUAGUGAAAGCGUGUGGCUCAACCAUAUACACAUUACAGAAACUGCUCAGCUAGAGGGCGAGAGAGGUUACUAGAAUUCCUAGUGUAGGAGUGAAAUCCGUAGAUAUUAGGAGGAAUACCGAUGGCGUANGCAGGUAACUGGCUCGUCCCUGACACUAAGGCACGAAAGCGUGGGUAGCAAACGGGAUUAGAUACCCCGGUAGU